This 77-nucleotide transfer RNA is filed under the name Candidatus Curtissbacteria bacterium RIFCSPHIGHO2_01_FULL_40_12. RNAcentral's name for it is "tRNA-Pro". It matches the Rfam family "tRNA". Rfam says of the family: Transfer RNA (tRNA) molecules are approximately 80 nucleotides in length. Their secondary structure includes four short double-helical elements and three loops (D, anti-codon, and T loops). Lineage: Bacteria; Candidatus Curtissiibacteriota. The record is from RNAcentral. RNAcentral also lists the same sequence under 2 other names.
CGGGGUGUAGUUCAGUUGGCUAGAACGCCAGGCUGGGGGUCUGGAAGUCGCCGGUUCAAGUCCGGCCACCCCGACAA